RNAcentral lists this ribosomal RNA (254 nucleotides) under uncultured bacterium. RNAcentral's name for it is "partial 16S ribosomal RNA". It matches the Rfam family "Bacterial small subunit ribosomal RNA", at positions 524 to 776 of the family's 1533-position model. The record is from RNAcentral.
UACGUAGGGUGCGAGCGUUGUCCGGAAUUAUUGGGCGUAAAGAGCUCGUAGGCGGUGUGUCACGUCGUUCGUGAAAACCUGCAGCUUAACUGUGGGCGUGCGGUCGAUACGGGCAUCACUGGAGUUCGGCAGGGGAGACUGGAAUUCCUGGUGUAGCGGUGAAAUGCGCAGAUAUCAGGAGGAACACCGGUGGCGAAGGCGGCGACCUGGGUCGACACUGACGCUGAGGCGCGAAAGCGUGGGGAGCAAACAGG